RNAcentral lists this unclassified non-coding RNA (245 nucleotides) under Hevea brasiliensis (rubber tree). Lineage: Eukaryota; Viridiplantae; Streptophyta; Magnoliopsida; Malpighiales; Euphorbiaceae. The record is from RNAcentral.
GACGACCAGAGUUGGAAACCCAGUUGGCUACAAGGUGGUGCCUGCUGGAACUGCUGCUAACUUACUGGAUCCUCAAGAUCCUCCUCAGAUCAGAGGGGCCUUCACAAAGAAUCAGAUAUGGGUAACACCAUACAAUAAAAGCGAGGAAUGGGCUGGUGGACUCUUUGUGUACCAAAACCAAGGGGAAGACACAUUGGCUGUUUGGUCUGAUAGGGACCGGGCGAUCGAGAACAGGGACAUUGUGC